UACGUAGGGUGCGAGCGUUGUCCGGAAUUAUUGGGCGUAAAGAGCUCGUAGGCGGUGCGUCACGUCGGCCGUGAAAACCUGGGGCUUAACUCUGGGCGUGCGGUCGAUACGGGCAUCACUAGAGUUCGGCAGGGGAGACUGGAAUUCCUGGUGUAGCGGUGAAAUGCGCAGAUAUCAGGAGGAACACCGAUGGCGAAGGCAGGUCUCUGGGCAUUAACUGACGCUGAGGAGCGAAAGCAUGGGGAGCGAACAGG
Molecule: ribosomal RNA, 254 nt
Filed under: uncultured bacterium
Lineage: Bacteria
Description: partial 16S ribosomal RNA
Rfam family: Bacterial small subunit ribosomal RNA
Source: RNAcentral